This 1561-nucleotide long non-coding RNA is filed under the name Lonchura striata (white-rumped munia). RNAcentral describes it as "domestica (Bengalese finch) lncRNA (ENSLSDG00000014163.1)". Lineage: Eukaryota; Metazoa; Chordata; Aves; Passeriformes; Estrildidae. The record is from RNAcentral.
UGCUCUGUGGGUGUCCCCUGGUGUCCAUGGCACUGGUCAGUGAUGUGUCACAGCCAAGGAGCCCCCACACCCAGCUGGCUCUGCAGAGGACAGCCUCAGCACACGGUGCUGGUCUCACUGUGGGAAGUGGUUCUGACCUCUGACUGAUCACACUGGGCUUCCUUCACCUGCCCAGCUCCACUGCACAUCCUGCCUGCACCACACAAAGUGCACACAGCAUCUGAGGGCAGCACGGGGUCGUGAUCUUUUAAAGAAUCACAGAAUGGGUUGGGUUGGAAAAGACCUCAGAGCUCAUCUCAUUCCAACCCCCCUUCCAUGGGACACCUUCCACUAGACCAGCUUGCUCCAAGCCCCAUCCAACCUGGCCUUGGACACUUCCAGAGGGUCACUUGAAGAAGAUAUUUACUUUUGUAAAAUAUUUAUGCAGAUACACCUACCUCUAGAGAUAAACACCUUCCAAAUACAAAUUCAUAGGUCACUAAUUUGGGCAUAACAUAUAUAGAGAAACCAUUGGGAAAAUACCAGAGCAGGUCCAACAGCCAAGUUUUAGGAAGGAACACCCACCUCCAGCAUGGAAAAAAGUUGGACAAGAAAAAUGAACUUUCCAACACAGAAACAAGAGUUUUCUAAUUCAAUCCAUACAGCCAGUUGCUUUUGCUUUGCCCUUCCAAGUGGUCAAGGAUGAGGUUCUGCACCCUAAGGUUACGAUUUCCCUUGGAGCCUGGACUGAGCAGGUCACAGGGAGCUGUCUGCCCAUGGCUGUGGCUGAGGAUGACAGGACACCUCUCCAGCUGCACAGGGACAUCCCCAGUGCCAGGGUGAGCUCAUCCCUCUGACCCCUACAGGCAGCUGCUGGUGAAUUCUGAACAUUGCUCACCCUGUCUGCAGGCAGACACGAGUUCAAGUAUGAACUGGGUUACAAUGAGCUGCUUGCUCAAGAACAUCUUCAAAAUUACUCUGGCUGGAGUGGCUUUACAUGUGUCUGAUGCAGCCAUGGGAGCUGGUCUUCCAGGAUUGCUAGGAUUGCUCCUGAGCAUGCUCUCAUCCCUGAAUGUGUUCAGAGGACCUGGCAUAACCCUUCCACACUGCUCCUUCCAAAACCCUGACUGCCUUCCAUCUUCCUACCCACAUGGUAAAUCUUUCCCAGAUCCCAAAGGCUCUGGAGGCUGUGCAUUCAUCCAGCAACAACCCUCAUCUCCAAAUCAACACCCACUUGGCUGCGAGUUAGGAACCCCAGGGUGCCAGGAGAGUUGGUAUUUGAAGUUGCAAGGCUGACCCACCCCUGAGGCUGGGAUCCACAGCGAGCCCUGUACUCCUGGCACAGCUUCCCACGCCUCCCCAGGGGCAGCAGGCCCUGCCUGGUGCUGAAAAACUGCCAAAGUCCGAUUUUAAUGAUCAUUUAUCUCAGCAACACAGGCAAGGAGAAAAGGAAAAAAACCAACAGUUCUUAUCACAGGACAGAACAAAGUGGUGCUGAGGUCCCCAGGCAGCUCCCACACCUGCAGAAAGCUGCACAGGCCCCAGGCACACAACCCCAGCAAUAAACCAGCCAGCAGCAGCA